UACGUAGGGUGCAAGCGUUAAUCGGAAUUACUGGGCGUAAAGGGAGCGUAGGCGGACAUUUAAGUCAGGGGUGAAAUCCCGGGGCUCAACCUGGGAAUUGCGUUGGAGACUGCAAGGCUAGAAUCUGGCAGAGGGGGGUAGAAUUCCACGUGUAGCAGUGAAAUGCGUAGAGAUGUGGAGGAACACCGAUGGCGAAGGCAGCCCCCUGGGUCAAGAUUGACGCUCAUGCACGAAAGCGUGGGGAGCAAACAGG
This 253-nucleotide ribosomal RNA is filed under the name uncultured bacterium. RNAcentral's name for it is "partial 16S ribosomal RNA". It matches the Rfam family "Bacterial small subunit ribosomal RNA", at positions 524 to 776 of the family's 1533-position model. The record is from RNAcentral.